ACUCAAAGGAAUUGACGGGGGCCCGCACAAGCGGUGGAGUAUGUGGUUUAAUUCGACGAUCCGCGCAGAACCUUACCACCCCUUGACAUGGGUAUCGCCGCCUGGUGAAAGCCGGGCUUCAUUUAGUUGGAUACCACACAGGUGCUGCAUGGCUGUCGUCAGCUCGUGUCGUGAGAUGUUGGGUUAAGUCCCGCAACGAGCGCAACCCUCACCUUUAGUUGCUACCAUUCAGUUGAGCACUCUAGAGGAACUGCCGGUGCAAGCCGGAGGAAGGUGGGGAUGACGUCAAGUCCUCAUGGCCCUUACGGGGUGGGCUACACACGUACUACAAUGGCGAUGACAGAGGGAAGCGAGCUUGCAAAAGUCAGCUGAUCCCUAAAAGUCGCCUCAGUUCGGAUUGUUCUCUGCAACUCGAGAACAUGAAGUUGGAAUCGCUAGUAAUCGCGAAUCAGCAGGUCGCGGUGAAUACGUUCCCGGGCCUUGUACACACCGCCCGU
This 497-nucleotide ribosomal RNA is filed under the name uncultured bacterium. RNAcentral's name for it is "bacterial SSU rRNA". It matches the Rfam family "Bacterial small subunit ribosomal RNA", at positions 899 to 1397 of the family's 1533-position model. The record is from RNAcentral.